Long non-coding RNA from Podarcis muralis (Common wall lizard), 3052 nucleotides. RefSeq lists it as uncharacterized. The record is from RefSeq and is a predicted model, not a curated record. Lineage: Eukaryota; Metazoa; Chordata; Lepidosauria; Squamata; Lacertidae.
UGGAGAUGGAGAGGAGGAGGAGCAAUCUCCAGAAGAAACCUGAAGGCAGGGGAAUCAACUCCUCCCAGAUAACAUCCGAAAAUCCAAACCCCACAGAGUGAAGUAAGCAGAGAGGAAAAGGACCAGAACCAGAAAAGCACAAGGGUAGAACACAUGCUUUGCAGGCAAAAUGCUCAGCACCCGACAUCUCCAGCUGAAAGGAAGUGGUAGUAGCUGAUGGGAAAGAAACCCUUAUGCCACUCAGUUGCCACUACAGGAGAAGCCAAAUCAAGCAUCUCCACCUGGCAUAAAGCAGCUUCCUGUUUGCAUACAGAGUCCUGGAAGACAAGCAGGUCCGUAUCAGUUUCAGCCGCUUGCUUGUUUAGCAACAGCAGCAUUUCAUCUUGCCUGCCCUGCAGCACAACUGUGGGAGCCGAAAAUGUUGUUUGGACAUAUUUCCCAUAGUUUGGAAUGGAUAAAGGAAGGAAAGGAGAAUCCAUUAGCUCAGCAGGUAGCUUAUGUGAGCACAGCAUACCUACGCUGGUUGAAUGCACUCGUGAGAUGGAGCACAUUACGGGCCACUUCUCUCAACUUUUAGAUGAAAUCAUUAAGCUUCGGAUCAGUGUGGGAAGAAAUCCAAAGGGUCAUGUUGUGGAAUCUCCUGUUCAGAUGGGGCAUGUGGGCUGCAAUGAAGCUAAUUAUCUCGCUGUGCGCUCAAGAAGUUGCACAACAUCCCUAUUGGGAUUUUUGCCUCCCACCCACCACCCAGCCGCUUUUGAUCCAGAGAGCUCUUUGCUACACAUGCUUGAAGAAAACACUCCUGAAUUAAUGUGGCAGAGAAGACAGUGGUUUGUGAAACACAAGCCCAAACCUUGUGUAGACUAGUGGAACGUGUCUCAGGAGCUUGAGAUAAGUGUCUGAAAGAUUCCCCAAUAGAUAACUAUAUAUAUAUUUCCUGCUGGGAAGAAAAAUUGAGGAUGCAUUCAUGAAUAACUGAAGCUCAAGGAGUAGCUGCACCUCUAAUGGGUGUGUCAUUUUUCCUGGGGUUGUUCUUCAACUUAUUGCCAUGACAAGAUAACUCAACUAGUUUGUGUGUGGUGCUGAUAAAGCCAAGGUUGCAGGUUUGAUCUCCACAAAGUGCACCUGCAUAUUCCUGCAUUGCAGGGGGGUCGACUAGAUGAUCCUGAAGGUCUCUUCCAAUUCUAUGAGUCUAUGAAAUGAGUGAGAAAUCGAAGCAAGAGUGCUUGGCUAUAUGAGUAGCCCUACCACAAGGCACAAUGAGGCAGUUGCCUCAGGCAGCAGAUGCUGUUCUUCUAAAAGCCCCGGAGGCCUUCAGCUGUUCUUCCUCAGGCCUCUAGCUGAUCUCUUUCAUGGGAGGGCUGAGAGGGUUUACAUGAACCCUGUUAACGUCUUAAUUCUCGAAAUGGACAGAUACCAACAACAACACAACUGCAAGUUUAGUUUUAAAAUUCAGUUAGAUUGUGGAAAGACACUAUGUAGUACAAGUCCACAUUUUUAUUUUGACAUUAUUAUACACGUUUACUCAGCCAAGUUCAAUGGAGUUCACUUCCAGAAGGGAGAGUAUAGGAUCUCAGAGCCAAUAAUUCCCCAGUGUUGCAGCUAGAGGCAAGAAUGGCAUAUAGUUGCCUCUCUGUUGACCUCUGCAGGUGAAGAAGAGAGCUGCUGCUGAUGGUAAGGGCUCUGUUGUGGUGGGAACCUUGAACUUCACUUUGGUUGGUUGGAGGAAACUACCACAAGCGGCAGAGAGCAGAAAACCCUGAAAUGGGUCAUUUGGGUGGGAGUGUCAACAGAAGCAGCAGAAAUCUAAAUUUUGGAAACUGAACCACAAAGAAUGUUAACUCUAGUAACCUGCUAACAACAUUUGGAGAGAAAGAGGCAAAAACUGGGAUGGCGAUUUAUCAGGAGCAGGCACCCAGAGUGUGUGUGUUGAACAUUUAUUUAGCACCAAUUGUAAACUAGGAACAAUAGUUUUAUGUGUUUUUGACACAGAGUAAUUUAGUUUGGGGACAUUAGCAACUCAACAACAUCUUCUCCAUGCAAUGUGACACUGAUUCUAUUUUCAGUGUAGGUGCUGCUGCUACACAGCAUGUUUAUUUUGGUGCGGAUGGCAAAUGUUUCUGAUCCAAGGCAAUUACACCCUGGCAUGCACUUUCAUGUUUUGCUGCCUUGAUUUAAAAUUCAGUUUGUUUCAUGCUGGCAAUGAUUUAUAGUCUUGUACAUUUGCUGGUUCUCUAAGUACAGCUGCUCUGCUAAGUUGAUAGGGCUAUUUGUAAAUAGGCCAAAUUUAUGAACUGCAGCUCAAGUUUGUUUGUUUGUUUAAACAGACAUCCAAAGAGACUAGGUGCUCUGUGUUUCUCACAUGCCAAUGAGAGCUGCAGACCAAACUAUCCUCGACAACUUUGGAAAUCUAACAUUGAUGAAUUUGUUUCAAGCCAUUAUUGUCUCCAGUGACAUAUUCUUAAACAAUUGAUUGAUGGAGCAUAAAACUCUGUUUGCUCAGGAAAGUGGGACUGCCACCUGCUCUUUCCGCCUUCCUUUGAAAGUGUGUUUUAAUUUAAAAGAGCUUGUCUAAUUAAAUUCACUGUUAGUGACAAAAUUAUCUCUUCAUUGACAAGCCUCCUUAGCAACUCAUUUAUAUUUUGAGGUCCAUGUCUGUAAGAAAAAGAAUUACAGGCAUAGGAUUAAGGAGGCAUGUGUGUCUGUGUGAAGCAUCAGUCAGUCUUCAGCAUGCAUUUGUUACAGAUGAACACAAUAAACCCUUUGGUAUUUCAGUGGUUGGAUAUAUUGCAGAAUUUGGUGCCAAGAGCCACUGAACCCAGUUCAUUAUCACCACAACCAUUACCAACUGGGAAAAUGUUUAUAAUGGAUGUAAAUAAUGACUUUACUUUCACAUCACAGCUCCACAAGCCUAUACUGGUUCUGGUGUAGUAUAGUACAUUACUUUUAAAUAGGUUGAUCCCAUACUCAAGAAUGAGAGUAAAUAUGUCACUCUUCUGGUUGGCUGUUGAUUAUGAUCUGUGACAGUGAUUCCAAAACCUUUGAAUAAGUACAC